GCAAGUAUAUAAAGAAACUAUUAGGAAUAUCUAGCUAUAUAUCAAAAAGAGUUUUUUAAAUAGUACAUCGAGGAGACUCGAUGAACUUGAACUUUUGGAAAAAUCCUAUAUAUAAACGAAGUGAAUUGAAAUAUCUUACUAGCUUCAGGAAUAGAAAUCAAACGAGAUUCUAUGAUUAGUGUGAAUGAAAGUAGAAAAGCCUAAAAGUAAAAUGGAUUAAAAUCUGUUUGAAUAAAGGGGAACCUUCCUCUAAGGCUAAAUAUGAUAUAUAAGCGACAGUGAACUAGUACCGAGAGGGAAAGAUUUGAAAUAGUAGUUUUAUAAGCAGCUCAAGUAAAGUUUAAAUAAAAAAUUAGAGCGUACCUUUUGCAUAAUGGGUCAGCAAGUUAAUAUUAGAUGCGAGAAUGCGCGUGACAGGAAAAAAAUCUCUUUUUUUUCCCUGUCUCCCUUUCCUAGAUAAACCGAUUAUUAAAUAAUGAAUUAGUAUCUAAAAUUAGACCCGAAGCCUGGUGAUCUUACCAUGAUCAGGGUUAUAAAAGCCCGAACGGGUUAUCGUUGUAAAGAUAUCCGAAGAAUUGUGGUAAGUUAGUGAAAGACAAUACUGACCAGGAUAGCUGGUUUUCCGCGAAACCUAUAUAAGUAGGUAAUUCAAAUAACAUCAUAGCAGGUACAGAAUUGUGAUCUCAGACAAAUAGUUUUCUUAGAAGACUUUUGUAUAUAUCGGGGGAUCGUGAAGAUUUUAUCGGUGAGAAUUUGCUCUCGGAAGGGCAAUGAUGAAUAUUGAAUAAUCGGACAUAGUACGAUAAGGUUGUAUGUCUAAAGGGAAACAGCCCAGAACAAGAGUUAAAGGUUCCAAAAUUAUUGUUCAGUGAAAUUAAGGAAGUUUUUUUCAUAUACAACCAGGAAAUAGGCUUAGAAGCGGCCAUUUUUUGAAGACCUCGUAACAGAGCACUGGUUCAAUUAAACAGUUAAAAGCACCGAAAAUUUAACGGAUCUAAACAAUAUACCGACACCUUGUCCAUAAGUAUCAAUAAAGUUAGAGAGAGAUCUCUCAUAUUGUAUUUAUGGGGUAGCGGAACGUUGGGCAAAUCUCAGAUGUAAUCUUUUUAAGAUUAUAUACUUCUCCAUAGAGAUGAUUAGAUAACCCAAGUGAGAAUGCUGGCAUGAGUAACGAAAAAGGGAUCAGCCGGAUAUACCGGAUCUCCCUCGCCUAAAGCUUAUGGUAUAUAUAUCAAGUAACGGCCUCUAAGUUUAUUGACCUGCCCUAAAGGACUAAAUGAUGAGAAAAUCUUUUUAUAUAUCUAACAACCCACAAUAACUUUUUUUUUUAAAGUUUAGAGUAGGUGGUGUUCUGGAAAAAGAUAUAUAAUUAUUAACCGUACCUAGAAACUACCACAAGUAAGCUAGUAGAGAAUACGAAGGCGUUUGAGCUAACAAUCAUUAAGGAACUCGGCAAAAUGACACCGUAACUUCGGGAUAAGGUGUGCCAUUCUUCCUGAUUAAUAUCAGGUUAAGAAUAGGAGGCAUAGAAUGGUGUUGUACGACUGUUUAAUUAAAACAAAGCACUUUGCGUAAGAUGAUAAAUCAAAGUAUUGAGUGUGAAUUCUGCCCAAUGUUGGCUGGUUAACGGAUUUUCUUAGCUGACUAAAAUAAGCUAGGUUUUGAAGGAACCCCCAAUCAAUGGCGGCCUUACCGAUGAGGGUCCUAAGGUAGCGGAAUACCUUGGCCGUUAAAUGCGGUCUUGCAUGAAUGAUUUAACGAUACAACAGCUGUCUCAAUGAUUGGCUCAGUGAAAUUGGAAUAACUGUGCAGAUACAGUUUACCUCUAGUUAGACGAGAAGACCCUAUGCAGCUUUACUGUUACUAGUUAUUGGAUAUGAUCAAACAAGUUGUAGUGUAUAAGGUAGUUGAUAAGAUACAAUUGAAACACCUUUACUUAGUUUAUCAUAUCAGUAGAAUACCACGAAAGCUAAACAAAGCUGGGUGUGGGGCAUCCAUAUCCAGCAAAAGAUAAUUACUUAGCCGAACCGGAGGCGGAAGGAAGCGUUUAGUUAGUAGGUAAAAUCUACGCUACUUAUCCAAAAAGGGAGAGGGGUUUGAGGGUUUUUACCAUCAAACCCGGGAAACAGUUGCUAGUAGACGGUUUAUGCGGGGCACAGAUCCCAUAAAAAGUACCUGGGUGUAUCCAAAGUUAAUUUUGUAAAUUUGCAAGUAGUUGCAUGGCAAAACCUUGCGACAGCUAGCAAUUAAACACGUACAGCCUUCCUUCGACCUUAGGUCGAGGGUUGUCGUCCGUGUUUUUUUUAUUUUAGUUUGUUAUAAUUUAUCAUAUGAUAAUUUAUUCAGUUAUAUAUCUAUUAAGUUAGAUUUAUUAUAUUUAUUUUAAGUAAGAUUUUAACUAUAUGGAAAAUAGAUGUAAAUUAAACCUUAAUAAGGAGUUAUCCUUGUAUUGUUUUAACUUGUUUUAUUUUUAUGCAUUUGGUAAGAAUAGAAUGAUUUUUAUAUUUAC
RNAcentral lists this ribosomal RNA (2509 nucleotides) under Hexapoda sp. RNAcentral's name for it is "bacterial LSU rRNA". It matches the Rfam family "Bacterial large subunit ribosomal RNA". The record is from RNAcentral. Lineage: Eukaryota; Metazoa; Arthropoda.